AGGGAAACCGAGUCUUAACUGGGCGUUAAGUUGCAGGGUAUAGACCCGAAACCCGGUGAUCUAGCCAUGGGCAGGUUGAAGGUUGGGUAACACUAACUGGAGGACCGAACCGACUAAUGUUGAAAAAUUAGCGGAUGACUUGUGGCUGGGGGUGAAAGGCCAAUCAAACCGGGAGAUAGCUGGUUCUCCCCGAAAGCUAUUUAGGUAGCGCCUCGUGAACUCAUCUUCGGGGGUAGAGCACUGUUUCGGCUAGGGGGUCAUCCCGACUUACCAACCCGAUGCAAACUGCGAAUACCGAAGAAUGUUAUCACGGGAGACACACGGCGGGUGCUAACGUCCGUCGUGAAGAGGGAAACAACCCAGACCGCCAGCUAAGGUCCCAAAGUCACAGUUAAGUGGGAAACGAUGUGGGAAGGCUCAGACAGCCAGGAUGUUGGCUUAGAAGCAGCCAUCAUUUAAAGAAAGCGUAAUAGCUCACUGGUCGAGUCGGCCUGCGCGGAAGAUGUAACGGGGCUAAACUGUGCACCGAAGCUGCGGCAGCGACGCUUAUGCGUUGUUGGGUAGGGGAGCGUUCUGUAAGCCUGCGAAGGUGUCCUGUGAGGGAUGCUGGAGGUAUCAGAAGUGCGAAUGCUGACAUAAGUAACGAUAAUGCGGGUGAAAAGCCCGCUCGCCGGAAGACCAAGGGUUCCUGUCCAACGUUAAUCGGGGCAGGGUGAGUCGACCCCUAAGGCGAGGCCGAAAGGCGUAGUCGAUGGGAAACGGGUUAAUAUUCCCGUACUUGGUGUUACUGCGAAGGGGGGACGGAGAAGGCUAUGUUGGCCGGGCGACGGUUGUCCCGGUUUAAGCGUGUAGGCUGGUUUUCCAGGCAAAUCCGGA
Molecule: ribosomal RNA, 876 nt
Filed under: Salmonella enterica
Lineage: Bacteria; Pseudomonadati; Pseudomonadota; Gammaproteobacteria; Enterobacterales; Enterobacteriaceae
Also listed under: 1 other name
Description: partial 23S ribosomal RNA
Rfam family: Bacterial large subunit ribosomal RNA
Source: RNAcentral